UGGGGUCCGAGGGAACGUCGCUUCCCAGUGGUCAACCACGAAGCAUAGGACCGCCACUUCAGAGAAGGAGUGAGUGAAGGUUCUCAUAGGAUCGCCGCUCUAUCCCAGAGUGAGUGAAGAUCUGCAUGGUGAUCGCUGCAGAUUCGCCCAUCUGUGAGAUUGAUCCAUUUUGAGGUAAGAAAGAGUGACACAGUUAUGGGACAAGCAUUGAGUAAACAGGAUUUGUUGCUUAAGGGCCUCAAAGAGUCCCUCAAGACACGAGGAGUAAAGGUUAAGAAAAAGGAUCUCAAGAAGUUUUUCGAUUUUGUGAGUGAUGUUUGUCCAU
Non-coding RNA from Erinaceus europaeus (western European hedgehog), 325 nucleotides. Lineage: Eukaryota; Metazoa; Chordata; Mammalia; Eulipotyphla; Erinaceidae. The record is from Rfam.